RNAcentral lists this ribosomal RNA (404 nucleotides) under Actinomycetes bacterium. RNAcentral describes it as "Actinobacteria bacterium partial 16S ribosomal RNA". It matches the Rfam family "Bacterial small subunit ribosomal RNA", at positions 355 to 776 of the family's 1533-position model. The record is from RNAcentral. Lineage: Bacteria; Bacillati; Actinomycetota; Actinomycetes.
UGGGGAAUAUUGGACAAUGGGCGCAAGCCUGAUCCAGCCAUGCCGCGUGAGUGAUGAAGGCCCUAGGGUUGUAAAGCUCUUUCACCGGUGAAGAUAAUGACGGUAACCGGAGAAGAAGCCCCGGCUAACUUCGUGCCAUCAGCCGCGGUAAUACGAAGGGGGCUAGCGUUGUUCGGAUUUACUGGGCGUAAAGCGCACGUAGGCGGACUUUUAAGUCAGGGGUGAAAUCCCGGGGCUCAACCCCGGAACUGCCUUUGAUACUGGAAGUCUUGAGGAUGGUAGAGGUGAGUGGAAUUCCGAGUGUAGAGGUGAAAUUCGUAGAUAUUCGGGGGAACACCAGUGGCGAAGGCGGCUCACUGGACCAUUACUGACGCUGAGGUGCGAAAGCGUGGGGAGCAAACAGG